CCUUCUCCUUUCCUCUUGGAUUUCUUCUUCUUCCCUUCCCUGAGAUGAGAUGUACGUUCCUGCCUCACGCACACAGCAACUGGACUCUAUGCACAGCGAGGAGGAUGAAGACACCCAGCCAUGGAUUUUUAGCAGCACUCACUCAAGGAAAAAGAGACCUCAACACGCCAAUGGAUGCAGCCAGCCUCCAACUCACCACGCACCUGCACCAACUUGAUGUAGGGAGAGGAGGAGUGAGGCUUCUCUCACGGGAUGACGCCCAGCCAUGGGGCAGCAACAAUCCAAGAUUGCUGUCAAAAUAAGCCUAAAUUCAGAGUCUUCGGAAGUCAAUUACUUUGAGCCUUUGAGUUAGGAGGUAUACCAGUCUCUUUGUAGUUUGCU
Molecule: long non-coding RNA, 381 nt
Organism: Triticum dicoccoides
Lineage: Eukaryota; Viridiplantae; Streptophyta; Magnoliopsida; Poales; Poaceae
Exons: 3
Source: RefSeq, a predicted model, not a curated record